Caenorhabditis elegans is the source of this 150-nucleotide non-coding RNA. The record is from Ensembl. NCBI's taxonomy places the organism in Eukaryota, Metazoa, Nematoda, Chromadorea, Rhabditida, Rhabditidae.
AAAAAAUUGGGAUUUUUUUUGAAUGGAAAAUUUUAGGCAAAAAAUGCUUGUGUAUUGGCAGUAUGUAGGCAGGUAGGGAUUAAAAAAAUGGGCAAUUGAUUUAAUUUAUAAAUUUUCAUAAGAUUUUGUAAACUAAGAACUUUUCUGUAA